This is a long non-coding RNA of Erinaceus europaeus (western European hedgehog), 290 nucleotides long. RefSeq lists it as uncharacterized. Lineage: Eukaryota; Metazoa; Chordata; Mammalia; Eulipotyphla; Erinaceidae. The record is from RefSeq and is a predicted model, not a curated record. The transcript is spliced from 3 exons.
AACUUCUGGAAUCAAGAUUCUAGGCUAUCACUGAAGAUUAUCUUCUUAGCUGAACUAUACCUCCGAUAUAAUUUUCUUUCCCACCUAAGCCACCUACCCCACUAAGUGCAGACUGUUGAAUGUGAUGCUGUUUCCUGACUAUAAAAUGGAGUGACUGAAGGUUAAUACAAGGAUCAAUUUGAGCUGCAGCUGAAUGUACAGUAGCGCCUACUACAUGGCAGCUGGUUCAUAAUCUCAAUACUGAAUGGUACCCUGGGUUGCAUCAAUCAAGUCAUUGUAACAACUUGGCA